This 428-nucleotide ribosomal RNA is filed under the name uncultured bacterium. Its description in RNAcentral is "bacterial SSU rRNA". It matches the Rfam family "Bacterial small subunit ribosomal RNA", at positions 30 to 435 of the family's 1533-position model. The record is from RNAcentral.
AUUGAACGCUGGCGGCGUGCCUAACACAUGCAAGUCGAACGGGCUCAUUUUGAAGUAGCAAUACAGAGAGAUGAGUUAGUGGCGGACGGGUGAGUAACACGUAGGUAACCUGCCCUUAAGCGGGGGACAACUCAGGGAAACUUGAGCUAAUACCGCAUAAGACCACGGGCUGAGAUGCCAGUGGGAAAAGUCCCGAUGCAAAUCGGGACACUUAAGGAUGGGCCUGCGGCCUAUCAGGUAGUUGGUGAGGUAACGGCCCACCAAGCCAGAGACGGGUAGCCGGACUGAGAGGUUGAACGGCCACACUGGAACUGAGAUACGGUCCAGACUCCUACGGGAGGCAGCAGUGGGGAAUAUUGCACAAUGGGGGAAACCCUGAUGCAGCGACGCCGCGUGGAGGAUGAAGGCCUUCGGGUUGUAAACUCCUU